GUUCCUUAUAUCUCCCUGAAAGAAAUUUGUCUCCUAGAUAAUUCUAUGUGUUCGAGUAUGGAAAAGGAACCCUUGACUAAUGUGGAUUUCUUUUUUCCCUCCUGAAUCUCCCUUUGCUAAGUUUUCAGGCUUCUGACUGCAGAAAUACUGCAGAUGUGAGGGAAUCCAAAACUGGACUUUCAGACAUUGCCAUCUGACUUGCUAUCACACCCUAAGAAUUCUUGGGCUUUAUUGUCUGCUCUACCAAUAUACUCCAAGGAUCACUGGGCUAUUCGAUCAACAUUAAAGCACGUGCUGUCUCCUCUAGCUUGAAUAUAAGCCCCUUGAGAGCAAGGAUCAUCUUGCUUCUGUAUUUUUAUCCUCAGCACUUAGCACAGCCUUGGUGUAGACUAAACAAACAGUGAGCACCUGAACGACAUCUGAGCAUCUGAACAAACACUGCAGUUCCAUUCCAAUUCAAGAGAUCUAAAAACUGGAAUAAAAGAUGAAUGUCCUGUUUGUAAUUUGGAACCCCUCCUUUUCACCUGUUUCUGAAAGGCACAGAGAAAGCACACAGUAGAGAUCUAUGUGUUGUAGGAAUCCCAUCAUGAGAGAGAGGGAUAAGAUGAACAAAUGGAUUUUGCCCACAAAGAAGACUCUUAUCAGGCAACUGAAUUUUCCACAAGAAAUUUUCAACUAAUAGAAUCCCAAGACUACAAACUAGUAAUGGUAUAGAAUGAAACCAUUAAUAGUUUAUGUCUAUGUGAACAAUUAAAUAGUCUCUAUCCUGAAUGCGAAAUGAACAGUACAUAAAAAAAAUUAAAGGUAGCUUUUAUGUGGGAAAUCAUGUAAGUCUGGAAAUCAAACCAAUAAUUAAGAAUGUUUAGAAGCUUUUUUUGGGGGGGUAGAAAAAUUAACAAAAAAGAGGUGAUGUACUUUAUUUUUAAAAAUCAUUUAUAAAAUUACAGUCCCAAAUGGGAAUGAUUAAAACAAAAAACCUUUCCUACAUAAUUUCUCCCACUUCC
RNAcentral lists this long non-coding RNA (1004 nucleotides) under Phascolarctos cinereus (koala). Its description in RNAcentral is "lncRNA (ENSPCIG00000008182.2)". Lineage: Eukaryota; Metazoa; Chordata; Mammalia; Diprotodontia; Phascolarctidae. The record is from RNAcentral.